UGGGGAAUAUUGGACAAUGGGCGACAGCCUGAUCCAGCCAUGCCGCGUGUGUGAAGAAGGUCUUCGGAUUGUAAAGCACUUUAAGUUGGGAGGAAGGGCAUUAACCUAAUACGUUAGUGUUUUGACGUUACCGACAGAAUAAGCACCGGCUAACUCUGUGCCAGCAGCCGCGGUAAUACAGAGGGUGCAAGCGUUAAUCGGACUUACUGGGCGUAAAGCGCGCGUAGGUGGUUUGUUAAGUUGGAUGUGAAAUCCCCGGGCUCAACCUGGGAACUGCAUUCAAAACUGACUGACUAGAGUAUGGUAGAGGGUGGUGGAAUUUCCUGUGUAGCGGUGAAAUGCGUAGAUAUAGGAAGGAACACCAGUGGCGAAGGCGACCACCUGGACUAAUACUGACACUGAGGUGCGAAAGCGUGGGGAGCAAACA
RNAcentral lists this ribosomal RNA (427 nucleotides) under uncultured bacterium. RNAcentral describes it as "partial 16S ribosomal RNA". It matches the Rfam family "Bacterial small subunit ribosomal RNA", at positions 355 to 774 of the family's 1533-position model. The record is from RNAcentral.